GACGAACACUGGCGGCGUGCUUAACACAUGCAAGUCGAACGGUAAGGCCCUUCGGGGUACACGAGUGGCGAACGGGUGAGUAACACGUGGGUGAUCUGCCCUGCACUUCGGGAUAAGCCUGGGAAACUGGGUCUAAUACCGGAUAGGACUCCUGGCUUCAUGGUUGGGGGUGGAAAGCUUUUGCGGUGUGGGAUGGGCCCGCGGCCUAUCAGCUUGUUGGUGGGGUAAUGGCCUACCAAGGCGACGACGGGUAGCCGGCCUGAGAGGGUGACCGGCCAAACUGGGACUGAGAUACGGCCCAGACUCCUACGGGAGGCAGCAGUGGGGAAUAUUGCACAAUGGGCGCAAGCCUGAUGCAGCGACGCCGCGUGAGGGAUGACGGCCUUCGGGUUGUAAACCUCUUUCAGUAGGGACGAAGCGCAAGUGACGGUACCUACAGAAGAAGGACCGGCCAACUACGUGCCAGCCGCCGCCGUAA
Molecule: ribosomal RNA, 478 nt
Filed under: uncultured bacterium
Lineage: Bacteria
Description: partial 16S ribosomal RNA
Rfam family: Bacterial small subunit ribosomal RNA
Source: RNAcentral